Molecule: non-coding RNA, 6052 nt
Organism: Xyrichtys novacula (pearly razorfish)
Lineage: Eukaryota; Metazoa; Chordata; Actinopteri; Labriformes; Labridae
Source: the annotation of a GenBank genome assembly
GACGCUGCACCCCACGGUUUAGGUUCUAGGGGGCGCCAAAGAUAACCCUAAAAUCCACAUAUUUAAAAGUCUUAUAACUUUUUAUUUUUGUCCCCACUGGCCUCCAAGUUUUCUAGGAUGAUGCAAUGUCCAGCCAUCAACACAUUUGUGAAGGAAUUUUUACUCGCCAAAAGAGCGCCCCCCCAUGGCAGGAGAAUAAAGUCAAGUUUUUCCUGUUCAUCAUUCAAUGGCUCAAACGCACUGCUCUCUCGGCAAAAGCGAAAAGAGGAGCAACUUGCCAUUUGGAUAUAUCUUAGCUGUGUUUGUGCCUUCACUCAUGGUCCAGACUUUUUUCAAAUAGGACAUGGAGUUUUUCUGCAGCGAGCGUUUUGGUAGAAACUGCGCCUCCCGUUCAUUAUAAUGGUAAAUGACCACAAACAAGUGCGCACACCAUCUUUGGACCUUGAGUGUGACGCGAUCGGGUGGGGGAGGCGGUCCCGCUGGGGGCGGCGUGACACGGCUCGGGCCCGCCAGUGCCCCAACGGGGCCCUAGUUUGUUAUUAUUAUUAUUUUUCCUCCCCUUUAAACUGGAAAAUGGCCCACUUCCCACUGGCGAAAACUCAUGAAAUUUGGCAGGACGACCGGGCCUGGUGAAAAAUUUGAUAUUCUGAAGUCGCCCAAACAAUAAAAUGCAAAAUGGCUCCAUAGCGCCCCCUAAGGUGGAAAUUCACACUAUUGACUGUCACGCCUGUACGCUUUGUCAAAAUGACACAAAAAUUGACACACACAUGUAUCUCAAUAAGAUCUACAAAAAAGUCAGUGCGGGCGUAUCUGUCAAAUGUACGGUUAAAGGGUUAUUGCGCAUUUUUUGCCGAUCCGCACACAUUGGAAUUUCGCUAACUCCUCCGAAGGCUUUCGUUCCACCGGCACCACAUUUGCUCAGGCCAAUCUACACCCCAUGGCCAUUAAAAGUUAUUCAAAUCAUGACGCUGCACCCCACGGUUUAGGUUCUAGGGGGCGCCAAAGAUAACCCUAAAAUCCACAUAUUUAAAAGUCUUAUAACUUUUUAUUUUUGUCCUCUCUGGCCUCCAAGUUUUCUAGGAUGAUGCAAUGUCCAGCCAUCAACACAUUUGUGAAGGAAUUUUGACUCCCCAAAAGAGCGCCCCCCCAUGGCAGGAGAAAAAAGUCCAUUUUUUCUUGUCCCCUAAGGUGAAAAUACACAUUGUUGAGUGUCACGCCUCUACACUUUGUCAAAAUGACACAACAUUUGACACACAGGUCUAUCUCAAUAAGAUCUACGAAAAAGUCAAUGCGGGCGUAUCUGUCAAAUGUACGGUUAAAGGGCUAUUUCGCAUUUUUUGGCGAUCCGUACAGAUUGGAAUUUCGCUAACUCCUCCAAAGGCUUUUGUUCCACCGGCACCACAUUUGCUCAGGCCAAUCUACACCCCAUGGCCAUCAAAAGUUAUUCAAAUCAUGACGCUGCACCCCACGGUUUAGGUUCUAGGGGGCGCUGAGGAUAACCCAAAAAUCCACAUUUUUAAAAGUCUUAUAACUUUUCAUUUUUGUCCUCACUGGCCUCCAAGUUUUCUAGGAUGAUGCAAUGUCCAGCCAUCAACACAUUUGUGAAGGAAUUUUUACUCCCCAAAAGAGCGCCCCCCCAUGGCAGGAGAAAAAAGUCAAUUUUUUCUUGUCCCCUAAGGUGAAAAUUCACAUUGUUGAGUGUGACACCUGUACGCUUUGUCAUAUUGACACAAAAAUUGACAUACACAUGUAUCUCAAUAAGAUCUACGAAAAAGUCAAUGCGCGCGUAUCUGUAAAAUGUACGGUUAAAGGGCUAUAUUGCAUUUUUUGCCGAUUCGCACACAUUGGAAUGUGGCUAACUCCUCCUAAGGCUUUCGUCUCACUGACACCAAAUUUGCUGAGGCCAAUCUACACCCCAUGGCCAUUCAAAGUUGUAAAAAUCAUGAUGCUGCACCCCACGGUUUACGUUCUAGGGGGCGCCAAAGAUGACCCAAAAAUCCACAUUCUUAAAAGAAUCCACAUCCCCCCCCCCCCAUGGCAGGAGAAAAAGUCAAGUUUUUCCUGCCCAUCGCUCAAUGGCUCAAUCGCAUCGCUCUCCAGGCAACACCGUAAGGAGGAGCAACCUGCCAUUUGGAUAUAUCCUAGCUGUGUUUGUGCCCUCACUCAUGGUCCAGCCUUUUUUCAUAUAGGACAUGAAGUUUGUCUGCAGCGAGUGUUUUGGUAGAAACUGCGCCUCCCAUUCAUUAUAAUGGGAAAUGACCACAGACAAGUGCGCACACCAUCUUUGGACCUUGAGUGUGAUGCGAUCGGGAGGGGAGGCGGUCGCACUGGGGGCGGCGCGACACGGCUCGGGCCCGACAGUGCCCCACCGGGGCCCUAGUUAUUAUUUUUCCUCCCCUUUGAACUGGAAAAUGGCCCACUUCCCACCCGCGAAAACUCAUGAAAUUUGGCAGGACGACCGGGCCUGGUGAAAAAUUUGAUAUUCCGAAGUCGCCCAAACAAGAAAAUGCAAAAUGGCUCCAUAGCGCCCCCUAAGGUGAAAAUUCACACUAUUGACUGUCACGCCUGUACGCUUUGUCAAAAUGACACAAAAAUUGACACACACAUGUAUCUCAAUAAGAUCUACAAAAAAGUCAGUGCGGGCGUAUCUGUCAAAUGUACGGUUAAAGGGUUAUUUCGCAUUUUUUGCCGAUCCGCACACAUUGGAAUUUCGCUAACUCCUCCGAAGGCUUUCGUUCCACCGGCACCACAUUUGCUCAGGCCAAUCUACACCCCAUGGCCAUUAAAAGUUAUUCAAAUCAUGACGCUGCACCCCACGGUUUAGGUUCUAGGGGGCGCCAAAGAUAACCCUAAGAUCCACAUAUUUAAAAGUCUUAUAACUUUUUAUUUUUGCCCUCACUGGCCUCCAAGUUUUCUAGGAUGAUGCAAUGUCCAGCCAUCAACACAUUUGUGAAGGAAUUUUUACUCCCCAAAAGAGCGCCCCCCAUGGCAGGAGAAAAAAGUCCAUUUUUUCUUGUCCCCUAAGGUGAAAAUACACAUUGUUGAGUGUAACACCUGUACGCUUUGGCAAAAUGACACCAAAAUUGAGACACACAUGUAUCUCAAUAAGAUCUACAAAAAAGUCAAUGCGCACGUAUCUGUCAAAUGUACGGUUAAAGGGUUAUUCCGCAUUUUUUGCCGAUCCGCACACAUUGGAAUUUCGCUAACUCCUCCGAAGGCUUUCGUUCCACCGGCACCACAUUUUCUCAGGCCAAUCUACACCCCAUGGCCAUUAAAAGUUAUUCAAAUCAUGACGCUGCACCCCACGGUUUAGGUUCUAGGGGGCGCCAAAGAUAACCGUAAAAUCCACAUAUUUAAAAGUCUUAUAACUUUUUAUUUUUGUCCCCACUGGCCUCCAAGUUUUCUAGGAUGAUGCAAUGUCCAGCCAUCAACACAUUUGUGAAGGAAUUUUUACUCGCCAAAAGAGCGCCCCCCCAUGGCAGGAGAAAAAAGUCCAUUUUUUCUUGUCCACUAAGGUGAAAAUACACAUUGUUGAGUGCUACGCCUGUAUGUUUUGUCGUAUUGACACAAAAUUUUACAUACACGUGUCUUUCAAUAAGAUCUUCGAAAAAGUCAAUGGCCACGUAUCUGUAAAAUGUACGGUUAAAGGGUUAUUUCGCAUUUUUUGCAGAUUCGCACACAUUGGAAUUUCGCUAACUCCUCCGAAGGCUUUCGUUCCACCGGCACCACAUUUGCUCAGGCCAAUCUACACCCCAUGGCCAUUAAAAGUUAUUCAAAUCAUGACGCUGCACCCCACGGUUUAGGUUCUAGGGGGCGCCAAAGAUAACCCUAAAAUCCACAUAUUUAAAAGUCUUAUAACUUUUUAUUUUUGUCCUCACUGGCCUCCAUGUUUUCUAGGAUGAUGCAAUGUCCAGCCAUCAACACAUUUGUGAAGGAGUUUUUUCUCGUUAAAAGAGCGCCCCCCCAUGGCAGGAGAAUAAAGUCAAGUUUUUCCUGUUUAUCAUUCAAUGGCUCAAACGCACUGCUCUCUCGGCAAAAGCGAAAGGAGGAGCAACUUGCCAUUUGGAUAUAUCUUAGCUGUGUUUGUGCCCUCACUCAUGGUCCAGACUUUUUUCAAAUAGGACAUGGAGUUUUUCUGCAGCGAGCGUUUUGGUAGAAACUGCGCCUCCCGUUCAUUAUAAUGGUAAAUGACCACAAACAAGUGCGCACACCAUCUUUGGACCUUGAGUGUGACGCGAUCGGGUGGGGGAGGCGGUCGUGCUGGGGGCGGCGUGACACGGCUCGGGCCCGCCAGUGCCCCAACGGGGCCCUAGUUGUUUCUUUCUUAGGGCCCGAGCGUAGCUGCUAAGCAGCUGCGAGAGCCCUCUUGUUCCUGUAGUUUCCUUCUUUUGUUAGGGCCCGAGCCAGCUGCAGAGCAGCCGGGCGUAGAGCCCUAUUAUUCCUGUAUAGGUUUUUCUUUCUUCUUUCUUUCUUUCUUUAGGGCCCGAGCGUAGCUGCUAAGCAGCUGCGAGAGCCCUAUUAUUCCCCAAGUGGUUUUUCUUUGUUUCUUUCUUUCUUUCUUUCUUCUUUUUCCUCCCCUUUGAACUGGAAAAUGGCCCACUUCCCACUGGCGAAAACUCAUGAAAUUUGGCAGGACGACCGGGCCUGGUGAAAAAUUCGAUAUUCUGAAGUCGCCCAAACAAUAAAAUGCAAAAUGGCUCCAUAGCGCCCCCUAAGGUGGAAAUUCACACUAUUGACUGUCACGCCUGUACGCUUUGUCAUAUUGACACAAAAAUUGACACACAUAUGUAUCUCAAUAAGAUCUACAAAAAAGUCAGUGCGGCCGUAUCUGUCAAAAUUACGGUUAAAGGGUUAUUUCGCAUUUUUUGCCGAUCCGCACACAUUGGAAUUUCGCUAACUCCUCCGAAGGCUUUCGUUCCACCGGCACCACAUUUGCUCAGGCCAAUCUACACCCCGUGGCCAUUAAAAGUUAUCAAAAUCAUGACGCUGCACCCCAAGGUUUAGGUUCUAGGGGGCGCCAAAGAUAACACUAAAAUCCACAUAUUUAAAAGUCUUAUAACUUUUUAUUUUUGUCCUCACUGGCCUCCAAGUUUUCUAGGAUGAUGCAAUGUCCAGCCAUCAACACAUUUGUGAAGGAAUUUUUACUCCCCAAAAGAGCGCCCCCCCAUGGCAGGAGAAAAAAGUCCAUUUUUUCUUGUCCCCUAAGGUGAAAAUACACAUUGUUGAGUGUCACGCCUAUACGCUUUGUCAAAAUGACACAAAAAUUGACACACACAUGUAACUCAAUAAGAUCUACGAAAAAGUCAAUGCGCGCGUAUCUGUCAAAUGUACGGUUAAAGGGUUAUUUUGCAUUUUUUGCCGAUGCGCACACAUUGGAAUUUCGCUAACUCCUCCGAAGGCUUUCGUUCCACCGGCACCACAUUUGCUCAGGCCAAUCUACACCCCAUGGCCAUUAAAAGUUAUUCAAAUCAUGAUGCUGCACCCCACGGUUUAGGUUCUAGGGGGCGCCAAAUAUAACCCUAAAAUCCACAUAUUUAAAAGUCUUAUAACUUUUUAUUUUUGUCCUCACUGGCCUCCAAGUUCUCUAGGAUGAUGCAAUGUCCAGCCAUCAACACAUUUGUGAAGGAAUUUUUACUCCCCAAAAGAGCGUCCCCCCAUGGCAGGAGAAAAAAGUCCAUUUUUUCUUGUCCCCUAAGGUGAAAAUACAUAUUGUUGAGUGCCACGCCUGUACGCUUUGUCAUAUUGACACAAAAUUUGACAAUCACGUGUGUCUCAAUAACAUCUACGAAAAAGUCAAUGCAUGCGUAUCUGUAAAAUGUACGGUUAAAGGGCUAUUUUGCAUUUUUUGCCGAUUCGCACACAUUGGAAUGUGGCUAACUCCUCCUAAGGCUUUCGUCCCACUGACACCAAAUUUGCUCAGGCCAAUCUACACCCCAUGGCCAUUCAAAGUUGUAAAAAUCAUGACGCUGCACCCCACGGUUUAGGUUCUAGGGGGCGCCAAAGAUGACCCAAAUAUCCACAUUCUUAAAAGAAUCCACACCCCCCCCAUCCC